AUUGCUAUGCAUGAUAAUGUACUGCUUUUAUAUCCCUGCUCAUAUUUUCUCUUUCUCUGCAUUGCUACCUAGUUACUCAUCCUUCAAAACUCAGUUCAGAGAUCAGCUCCUCCAAGAAGGCUUCUGUGGUUGUGGUUGGUGCUCUUUCCUACCAGUACCAGCUGUCCUGAGAGCACGUCUCUACAUCUCUACCUGCAUUCUGGAAACCGGGAGAAAGCCAAAACGGAUGACAAGACACUAGAUCAGCCGUGUCCAACCCUGUGACUACAAGGACUUUUCCGCCUAUCUUUGGUGAGACGGGGUCUCACUGUAUUGUCCAGGUUGGUCUCAAAC
This 333-nucleotide long non-coding RNA is filed under the name Homo sapiens (human). RNAcentral's name for it is "HSALNT0341282". Lineage: Eukaryota; Metazoa; Chordata; Mammalia; Primates; Hominidae. The record is from RNAcentral.